AGUUUAUCAAACAUGAAGGUCAGAGAUUUUGUGUGACAGCGACAGAAAACUAGCCUUGUAUUGUUGGAAGUGACAUACUGAAUUUUCCUCGACAAACUAAUGGGUCAGACUGUUGAGUGUUUAUUUGCUUGGUAUGACAUCAUGGUAGCUAUUGGUGCUUUUCAUCAUCGUUCUGUUACUGCAUCAUGCUCCAUAUGAAAUGCUAAAAUUACCGUACAACUACACCCAAUCACAGAUGGCAUCAGCCAGGGCAUGGAUUGCCUUGACAUUUUGCAAGAACAAGAAAAUGUAAGAUAAGAGCCUGAUCGAGAAUAUUCAAGUACAUUGUAAUACAGCUAACAUCGGAUCAAUUUUAGGCCACAGAAACAUCUAGUCACUACAACUGAUGACAGUGAUUAUACCUGUGCUAAUGACAGUAAAUGUAACGAUGAUGUGCAGGAAGAUGAUGCAUAAUGCACUAAAGA
Long non-coding RNA from Corticium candelabrum, 464 nucleotides. RefSeq lists it as uncharacterized. The transcript has 3 exons. NCBI's taxonomy places the organism in Eukaryota, Metazoa, Porifera, Homoscleromorpha, Homosclerophorida, Plakinidae. The record is from RefSeq and is a predicted model, not a curated record.